RNAcentral lists this long non-coding RNA (703 nucleotides) under Equus asinus (donkey). RNAcentral's name for it is "lncRNA (ENSEASG00005034743.1)". Lineage: Eukaryota; Metazoa; Chordata; Mammalia; Perissodactyla; Equidae. The record is from RNAcentral.
GCUUGCUAAGGUACUCAGCUCCCAGCAUUAAAAAAAUGCUGUUGAUAUACCAUUUUGAUUGAAAACACUUCUUUGCAAACCCUAGUCUUGGGAUAGGAGGAAAAUAACAACGGCUACGAUCACUACAACUGAUUUGCUAUGAUUCUCUCUGCUGAAAUUGAGAUAAAAUUUGCCACAUGCCACUCUGAAAUUGAUUACCUUCUCAACUCAGUCAAUAGCAAAGAACUUGGUCUCACUAAUUCAGAGUGGCUUAGGUCAUGCCUCCCGCUGACAGUGUGACGGAGAAGCCAAAAGGAGCAGCUCUAGGGAGGGGCAGAGAAGGCAGCUCUUUUAUCAGAAUCUUCCUCUUCUUCCCUUAAUGCACAAAUGGUAAAGUUACAAGGAGAUCUUCUCUUUCCUCUUUUGAUGUAUUUCAACAUACCAUGGCUUCUACACCAUACAAAUAAAAUUGAAGGAGAGUGAAGAACGUGAAACAGUAGACACAGUUAAAUGAUUAUUCACUGAUAGCAGGAGAAUCAGGCAAAUCCCACCACCUGUUUAUGGCCUCCCAACACAGACUCACUGACCAGAGAAACCAUCAGUUGCUGCUACAACAUGGCUUGAUGAGUGGUGUCGGUCUGCACCUGAGAUCCAAACUUGAGAACCGGGCCGCUGAAGCGGAGCAUGCCAGACUUAACCACUACACCACGGGGCUGACACCACA